RNAcentral lists this ribosomal RNA (395 nucleotides) under uncultured bacterium. RNAcentral's name for it is "bacterial SSU rRNA". It matches the Rfam family "Bacterial small subunit ribosomal RNA", at positions 505 to 898 of the family's 1533-position model. The record is from RNAcentral.
GUGUCAGCAGCCGCGGUAAUACGUAGGUGGCAAGCGUUGUCCGGAUUUAUUGGGCGUAAAGCGAGCGCAGGCGGUUUUUUAGGUCUGAUGUGAAAGCCUUCGGCUUAACCGGAGAAGUGCAUCGGAAACCGGGAGGCUUGAGUGCAGAAGAGGACAGUGGAACUCCAUGUGUAGCGGUGAAAUGCGUAGAUAUAUGGAAGAACACCAGUGGCGAAGGCGGCUGUCUGGUCUGUAACUGACGCUGAGGCUCGAAAGCAUGGGUAGCGAACAGGAUUAGAUACCCUGGUAGUCCAUGCCGUAAACGAUGAGUGCUAAGUGUUGGAGGGUUUCCGCCCUUCAGUGCUGCAGCUAACGCAUUAAGCACUCCGCCUGGGGAGUACGACCGCAAGGUUGAA